UAUAGUUGCAACAUUUCUGUUAACCAACUAAAUAAACAUUGCAACCAGCACUUGUACGAAUGGCAACAUGAUAUCAACUAUCAUCGCUAGCUCCUGUCAGGCUCGGUAACAUUAUAUGGAGAUGAACACUCAGAAUAUUUUGUGCUAAUAAAUUGAAGUUUCAACACUUUAGGAUAAUACAACACACAGUAUAAAGGGAACCUUCCUAGAGUCCCACUUAUUUCCUAAGAGUUGAGAGGCCUUUUGUUCAUAGCAAGGGAAUUGCAAACAAGGCUCUCUGAUAACACUGCCUUCUAACUAUGGAUAACUGGCCAAAAGGCAACAAAGUUAUCAAAUGAUCAAAAGAGAACUGAUGCAUACAUUUUAUUUCUCAGCCUUUCUUGUGGGUGCUUGAAAGGGGUCUAGAUAAAAAUGGCAGAUGAAACUUGUCUUUGACAAUUGGAUGGACAGGGCUUAAUAAAAUGAUAGAAAAAGAAUCAUCAUGUUUCACCUAGCUCUUAUUCAGCUCGUAUCUAUCAAAGACAUAGAUUUAUAGCAAAAGAAGUCCUUUUUUGACUGCACUAAUUGUUUGAGUCAACAAGGAUGGUUUACAGCUGGACUAGUGGCUCUGAGAAAGAGAAGAAGGAAAGCCAAACUUUUCAACUGAUAGCUGCAGGGCUGUUGAGGGUGUCUUUUGAAGAGGCUUGCAUGCCAUGGAAUUUUUACUUUUAGCGACCAUGAUGUCUAUAUUUUUUGUUAAGGGAGCUAAUCAUUUCAAAAGGAGAGAAGCUAAUGUUCAUAUUUUGUGAAAUUGUGGAUCCUAGAUUGUACUGUCCAUGCUUGGAAGGGCUAUACGAUGUAAGGGCAGGAAGAGAUAAGACCUUUCAGGAGCUAUUCGAUUGCUCAUUUUGUGAAAAUGGUUAACCAUAAACUUAAAUUGUUUAGAUAUGUACACGGCCUGUGGGUUUUUGUAGGAUUUAUAAAGGCAAAAAGGUAUAGGCCUUGAAAUAUUGGAAGCUAAUAUUUCGUAAAGCAAAUCAUGGGGCAGUUAAUGUUUUCUGUUAUAA
Molecule: long non-coding RNA, 1046 nt
Filed under: Phoenix dactylifera (date palm)
Lineage: Eukaryota; Viridiplantae; Streptophyta; Magnoliopsida; Arecales; Arecaceae
Description: long non-coding RNA (PDAC_LNC016245)
Source: RNAcentral